AGCAGUCGCCGCGGUAAUACGGAGGGAGCUAGCGUUGUUCGGAAUUACUGGGCGUAAAGCGCGCGUAGGCGGCUUUUUAAGUCGGAUGUGAAAUCCCUGAGCUUAACUUAGGAAUUGCAUUCGAUACUGGGAAGCUAGAGUAUGGGAGAGGAUGGUAGAAUUCCAGGUGUAGCGGUGAAAUGCGUAGAGAUCUGGAGGAAUACCGAUGGCGAAGGCAGCCAUCUGGCCUAAUACUGACGCUGAGGUACGAAAGCAUGGGGAGCAAACAGGAUUAGAUACCCCAGUAGUCCCUGUCUCUUAUAC
RNAcentral lists this ribosomal RNA (303 nucleotides) under uncultured bacterium. Its description in RNAcentral is "partial 16S ribosomal RNA". It matches the Rfam family "Bacterial small subunit ribosomal RNA", at positions 507 to 807 of the family's 1533-position model. The record is from RNAcentral.